RNAcentral lists this ribosomal RNA (585 nucleotides) under Triticum aestivum (bread wheat). RNAcentral's name for it is "partial small subunit ribosomal RNA". The record is from RNAcentral. Lineage: Eukaryota; Viridiplantae; Streptophyta; Magnoliopsida; Poales; Poaceae.
AUGUCAUGGCAUAAUCUUUUGUCCUGUCUGGAUGCGAUUAGCCUGACAGAAGGCUGGGAUGUGUUUCGCUGGAACCUUACUACAUCAGGGUCUUUCACCAUAGACUCUAUGUAUUGUGCGCUCACACAUUCUGAGGUACUGGUGAGCAAUAAUAAGAAAAUUUGGAGGUUGAAGAUACCAGUAAAAGUUAAAGUCUUCAUGUGGUAUCUUCGUAGGGGAGUUGUGCUAAUCAAAGACAACCUCGCACGACGCAAUUGGCAAGGGAGUAAGAAGUGUUGUUUUUGUACUCAUGAUGAGACAAUCAGACACCUCUUUUUCCAAUGCAACUUUGCAUGUUCUACAUGGUCAGUCAUCCAAAUAGCGUCAAGUUUAUAUCCGCCCACAAGUGUUGCCAAUAUUUUUCGUCAUUGGUUGGACGGUAUUUCAAAUAGGUUCAAAACGCUAUUGAGGGUGGGAGCGUAUGCCUUAGUAUGGUCGCUUUGGCUAUGUAGAAAUGAUUUUGUUUUUAAUGACAAAAAUGCUUCUCCUUUGCAGGCUAUUUUCCAUUGUACGCACUCGCUUCGUACGUGGUCUAUGCUACAAUGA